GACGAACGCUGGCGGCGUGCUUAACACAUGCAAGUCGAACGGUGAAGCGCCUUCCUUUUUGGUGGGUGUGGAUGAGUGGCGAACGGGUGAGUAACACGUGAGUAACCUGCCUCCUUCUUCUGGAUAACCGCAUGAAAGUGUGGCUAAUACGGGAUAUUCUGGGUCUGUCGCAUGAUGGGUCUGGGAAAGAUUUUGUUUCGGUGGGGGAUGGGCUCGCGGCCUAUCAGCUUGUUGGUGGGGUGAUGGCCUACCAAGGCGGUGACGGGUAGCCGGCCUGAGAGGGUGGACGGUCACACUGGGACUGAGACACGGCCCAGACUCCUACGGGAGGCAGCAGGGGGGAAUAUUGCACAAUGGGCGCAAGCCUGAUGCAGCGACGCCGCGUGAGGGAUGGAGGCCGUCGGGUUGUGAACCUCUUUCGCCAGUGAAGCAGGCCUGCCUCGUUUGUGGGUGGGUUGACGGUAGCUGGAUAAGAAGCGCCGGCUAACUACGUG
Molecule: ribosomal RNA, 494 nt
Filed under: uncultured bacterium
Lineage: Bacteria
Description: partial 16S ribosomal RNA
Rfam family: Bacterial small subunit ribosomal RNA
Source: RNAcentral